This is a microRNA precursor of Oryza sativa Indica Group (long-grained rice), 165 nucleotides long. It matches the Rfam family "MIR812 microRNA precursor family". NCBI's taxonomy places the organism in Eukaryota, Viridiplantae, Streptophyta, Magnoliopsida, Poales, Poaceae. The record is from Rfam.
AAAAAGACAAACCCUGGGUUUCCGUGUCCAACUUUGACUGUCCGUCUUAUAUGAAUUUUUUUUAUAAUUCGUAUUAAACAUGAUUAAUAUUUUAUGCGCGACUUGUCUUUUUAAUUUUUUUUAUAUUUUUUUCAAAUAAGACGAACGGUCAAACGUUGGGCACGG